UUAAGCGACUAAGCGUACACGGUGGAUGCCCUGGCAGUCAGAGGCGAUGAAGGACGUGCUAAUCUGCGAAAAGCGUCGGUAAGGUGAUAUGAACCGUUACAGCCGGCGAUGUCCGAAUGGGGAAACCCAGUGCAAUUCGUUGCACUAUCGUUUGAUGAAUACAUAGUCAAACGAGGCGAACCGGGGGAACUGAAACAUCUAAGUACCCCGAGGAAAAGAAAUCAACCGAGAUUCCCCCAGUAGCGGCGAGCGAACGGGGAGCAGCCCGGAGUCUGAAUCAGCUUGUGUGUUAGUGGAAGCGUCUGGAAAGUCGCAGGGUACAGGGUGAUACUCCCGUACACUAAAACGCACAGGUUGUGAACUCGAAGAGUAGGGCGGGACACGUGGUAUCCUGUCUGAAUAUGGGGGGACCAUCCUCCAAGGCUAAAUACUCCUGACUGACCGAUAGUGAACCAGUACCGUGAGGGAAAGGCGAAAAGAACCCCGGCGAGGGGAGUGAAAAAGAACCUGAAACCGUGUACGUACAAGCAGUAGGAGCCCACUAGUUGGGUGACUGCGUACCUUUUGUAUAAUGGGUCAGCGACUUAUAUUCUGUAGCAAGGUUAACCGUAUAGGGGAGCCGCAGGGAAACCGAGUCUUAACUGGGCGUUAAGUUGCAGGGUAUAGACCCGAAACCCGGUGAUCUAGCCAUGGGCAGGUUGAAGGUUGGGUAACACUAACUGGAGGACCGAACCGACUAAUGUUGAAAAAUUAGCGGAUGACUUGUGGCUGGGGGUGAAAGGCCAAUCAAACCGGGAGAUAGCUGGUUCUCCCCGAAAGCUAUUUAGGUAGCGCCUCGUGAACUCAUCUUCGGGGGUAGAGCACUGUUUCGGCUAGGGGGUCAUCCCGACUUACCAACCCGAUGCAAACUACGAAUACCGAAGAAUGUUAUCACGGGAGACACACGGCGGGUGCUAACGUCCGUCGUGAAGAGGGAAACAACCCAGACCGCCAGCUAAGGUCCCAAAGUCAUGGUUAAGUGGGAAACGAUGUGGGAAGGCCCAGACAGCCAGGAUGUUGGCUUAGAAGCAGCCAUCAUUUAAAGAAAGCGUAAUAGCUCACUGGUCGAGUCGGCCUGCGCGGAAGAUGUAACGGGGCUAAACCAUGCACCGAAGCUGCGGCAGCGACACUAUGUGUUGUUGGGUAGGGGAGCGUUCUGUAAGCCGUUGAAGGUGGCCUGUGAGGGUUGCUGGAGGUAUCAGAAGUGCGAAUGCUGACAUAAGUAACGAUAAUGCGGGUGAAAAACCCGCACGCCGGAAGACCAAGGGUUCCUGUCCAACGUUAAUCGGGGCAGGGUGAGUCGACCCCUAAGGCGAGGCCGAAAGGCGUAGUCGAUGGGAAACAGGUUAAUAUUCCUGUACUCGGUGUUACUGCGAAGGGGGGACGGAGAAGGCUAUGUUGGCCGGGCGACGGUUGUCCCGGUUUAAGCAUGUAGGCGGAUGUUCCAGGUAAAUCCGGAACGUCACUAACGCUGAGGUGUGAUGACGAGGCACUACGGUGCUGAAGUGACAAAUGCCCUGCUUCCAGGAAAAGCCUCUAAGCAUCAGGUAACAUCAAAUCGUACCCCAAACCGACACAGGUGGUCAGGUAGAGAAUACCAAGGCGCUUGAGAGAACUCGGGUGAAGGAACUAGGCAAAAUGGUGCCGUAACUUCGGGAGAAGGCACGCUGAUGGUAGGUGAAGCGACUUGCUCGUGGAGCUGAAAUCAGUCGAAGAUACCAGCUGGCUGCAACUGUUUAUUAAAAACACAGCACUGUGCAAACACGAAAGUGGACGUAUACGGUGUGACGCCUGCCCGGUGCCGGAAGGUUAAUUGAUGGGGUUAUCCGUAAGGAGAAGCUCUUGAUCGAAGCCCCGGUAAACGGCGGCCGUAACUAUAACGGUCCUAAGGUAGCGAAAUUCCUUGUCGGGUAAGUUCCGACCUGCACGAAUGGCGUAAUGAUGGCCAGGCUGUCUCCACCCGAGACUCAGUGAAAUUGAACUCGCUGUGAAGAUGCAGUGUACCCGCGGCAAGACGGAAAGACCCCGUGAACCUUUACUAUAGCUUGACACUGAACACUGGUCCUUGAUGUGUAGGAUAGGUGGGAGGCUUUGAAGUGUGGACGCCAGUCUGCAUGGAGCCAUCCUUGAAAUACCACCCUUUAAUGGCUGGUGUUCUAACGUGGGCCCGUAAUCCGGGUUGCGGACAGUGUCUGGUGGGUAGUUUGACUGGGGCGGUCUCCUCCUAAAGAGUAACGGAGGAGCACGAAGGUCAGCUAAUCCUGGUCGGACAUCAGGAGGUUAGUGCAAUGGCAUAAGCUGGCUUGACUGCGAGCGUGACGGCGCGAGCAGGUGCGAAAGCAGGUCAUAGUGAUCCGGUGGUUCUGAAUGGAAGGGCCAUCGCUCAACGGAUAAAAGGUACUCCGGGGAUAACAGGCUGAUACCGCCCAAGAGUUCAUAUCGACGGCGGUGUUUGGCACCUCGAUGUCGGCUCAUCACAUCCUGGGGCUGAAGUAGGUCCCAAGGGUAUGGCUGUUCGCCAUUUAAAGUGGUACGCGAGCUGGGUUUAGAACGUCGUGAGACAGUUCGGUCCCUAUCUGCCGUGGGCGCUGGAGAAUUGAGGGGGGCUGCUCCUAGUACGAGAGGACCGGAGUGGACGCAUCACUGGUGUUCGGGUUGUCAUGCCAAUGGCAUUGCCCGGUAGCUAAAUGCGGAAGAGAUAAGUGCUGAAAGCAUCUAAGCACGAAACUUGCCCCGAGAUGAGUUCUCCCUGACUCCUUGAGAGUCCUGAAGGAACGUUGAAGACGACGACGUUGAUAGGCCGGGUGUGUAAGCGCAGCGAUGCGUUGAGCUAACCGGUACUAAUGAACCGUGAGGCUUAACCUU
Molecule: ribosomal RNA, 2904 nt
Filed under: Klebsiella michiganensis
Lineage: Bacteria; Pseudomonadati; Pseudomonadota; Gammaproteobacteria; Enterobacterales; Enterobacteriaceae
Description: bacterial LSU rRNA
Rfam family: Bacterial large subunit ribosomal RNA
Source: RNAcentral